RNAcentral lists this ribosomal RNA (253 nucleotides) under uncultured bacterium. RNAcentral's name for it is "partial 16S ribosomal RNA". It matches the Rfam family "Bacterial small subunit ribosomal RNA", at positions 524 to 776 of the family's 1533-position model. The record is from RNAcentral.
UACAGAGACUGCAAGCGUUAUUCGGAUUCACUGGGCGUAAAGGGUGCGCAGGUGGUUGUUUGUGUCAGAUGUGAAAUCCCGGAGCUUAACUCCGGAACUGCGUCUGAAACUGCACGACUAGAGCAUUGGAGAGGGUAGUGGAAUUCACGGUGUAGCAGUGAAAUGCGUAGAUAUCGUGAGGAACACCAGAGGCGAAGGCGACUACCUGGACAAUUGCUGACACUCAGGCACGAAAGCAUGGGGAGCAAAAGGG